Molecule: ribosomal RNA, 203 nt
Filed under: Pseudomonas aeruginosa
Lineage: Bacteria; Pseudomonadati; Pseudomonadota; Gammaproteobacteria; Pseudomonadales; Pseudomonadaceae
Description: partial 16S ribosomal RNA
Rfam family: Bacterial small subunit ribosomal RNA
Source: RNAcentral
CUCCUGGAUACAGCGGCGGACGGGUGAGUAGUGCCUAGGACUCUGCCUGGUAGUGGGGGAUAACGUCCGGAAACGGGCGCUAAUACCGCAUACGUCCUGAGGGAGAAAGUGGGGGAUCUUCGGACCUCACGCUAUCAGAUGACCCUAGGUCGGAUUAGCUAGUUGGUGGGGUAAAGGCCUACCAAGGCGACGAUCCGUAACUG